ACUCCUACGGGAGGCAGCAGUGGGGAAUAUUGGACAAUGGGCGAAAGCCUGAUCCAGCCAUGCCGCGUGUGUGAAGAAGGUCUUCGGAUUGUAAAGCACUUUAAGUUGGGAGGAAGGGCGGUAAAUUAAUACUUUGCUGUUUUGACGUUACCGACAGAAUAAGCACCGGCUAACUCUGUGCCAGCAGCCGCGGUAAUACAGAGGGGUGCAAGCGUUAAUCGGAAUUACUGGGCGUAAAGCGCGCGUAGGUGGUUUGUUAAGUUGGAUGUGAAAUCCCCGGGGCUCAACCUGGGAACUGCAUUCAAAACUGACUGACUAGAGUAUGGUAGAGGGUGGUGGAAUUUCCUGUGUAGCGGUGAAAUGCGUAGAUAUAGGAAGGAACACCAGUGGCGAAGGCGACCACCUGGACUAAUACUGACACUGAGGUGCGAAAGCGUGGGGAGCAAACAGGAUUAGAUAA
This 460-nucleotide ribosomal RNA is filed under the name uncultured bacterium. Its description in RNAcentral is "bacterial SSU rRNA". It matches the Rfam family "Bacterial small subunit ribosomal RNA", at positions 335 to 785 of the family's 1533-position model. The record is from RNAcentral.